AGGUCAUACUUACGGACCUCACAACGUUCAUAUGGACGCAA
This 41-nucleotide small RNA is filed under the name Chaetoceros neogracilis. RNAcentral describes it as "partial Mitochondrion-encoded tmRNA". The record is from RNAcentral. Lineage: Eukaryota; Bacillariophyta; Thalassiosirophyceae; Chaetocerotales; Chaetocerotaceae.